RNAcentral lists this ribosomal RNA (1117 nucleotides) under Bacillus aerophilus. RNAcentral describes it as "bacterial SSU rRNA". It matches the Rfam family "Bacterial small subunit ribosomal RNA", at positions 56 to 1157 of the family's 1533-position model. The record is from RNAcentral. Lineage: Bacteria; Bacillati; Bacillota; Bacilli; Caryophanales; Bacillaceae.
UGCAAGUCGAGCGGACAGAAGGGAGCUUGCUCCCGGAUGUUAGCGGCGGACGGGUGAGUAACACGUGGGUAACCUGCCUGUAAGACUGGGAUAACUCCGGGAAACCGGAGCUAAUACCGGAUAGUUCCUUGAACCGCAUGGUUCAAGGAUGAAAGACGGUUUCGGCUGUCACUUACAGAUGGACCCGCGGCGCAUUAGCUAGUUGGUGAGGUAACGGCUCACCAAGGCGACGAUGCGUAGCCGACCUGAGAGGGUGAUCGGCCACACUGGGACUGAGACACGGCCCAGACUCCUACGGGAGGCAGCAGUAGGGAAUCUUCCGCAAUGGACGAAAGUCUGACGGAGCAACGCCGCGUGAGUGAUGAAGGUUUUCGGAUCGUAAAGCUCUGUUGUUAGGGAAGAACAAGUGCAAGAGUAACUGCUUGCACCUUGACGGUACCUAACCAGAAAGCCACGGCUAACUACGUGCCAGCAGCCGCGGUAAUACGUAGGUGGCAAGCGUUGUCCGGAAUUAUUGGGCGUAAAGGGCUCGCAGGCGGUUUCUUAAGUCUGAUGUGAAAGCCCCCGGCUCAACCGGGGAGGGUCAUUGGAAACUGGGAAACUUGAGUGCAGAAGAGGAGAGUGGAAUUCCACGUGUAGCGGUGAAAUGCGUAGAGAUGUGGAGGAACACCAGUGGCGAAGGCGACUCUCUGGUCUGUAACUGACGCUGAGGAGCGAAAGCGUGGGGAGCGAACAGGAUUAGAUACCCUGGUAGUCCACGCCGUAAACGAUGAGUGCUAAGUGUUAGGGGGUUUCCGCCCCUUAGUGCUGCAGCUAACGCAUUAAGCACUCCGCCUGGGGAGUACGGUCGCAAGACUGAAACUCAAAGGAAUUGACGGGGGCCCGCACAAGCGGUGGAGCAUGUGGUUUAAUUCGAAGCAACGCGAAGAACCUUACCAGGUCUUGACAUCCUCUGACAACCCUAGAGAUAGGGCUUUCCCUUCGGGGACAGAGUGACAGGUGGUGCAUGGUUGUCGUCAGCUCGUGUCGUGAGAUGUUGGGUUAAGUCCCGCAACGAGCGCAACCCUUGAUCUUAGUUGCCAGCAUUCAGUUGGGCACUCUAAGGUGACUGCCGGUG